UGAUUGAAUAUAGGGUCUAACUACUAGUUCAACAAAAAAAACAAAUUGUUCCCAAAGUUUUCAUAAUAGUCCCAAGUUAGAUACAAUAGUAAAAGUUCACUAUCCAAACCAGAACUCAACUAGACGAUGUACACAUCAGGUUACUAAAAAAUAUCAAAAGAAAUACGACUGAAUCACAAAAUAACUGAUGAUAUGCUUUAAACUUUUGCUUUUCAUUUCAUUCUUCAAGUCAAGCCUCACAUGAGGUAGAAUUCAGAGGUCAUGUACCUGGGAAUAAGAGGAAAGCAAGAAGAAGUAGGAAUCAAUAGGCAGCAGCAACAGAACAGAGUCCCAGAUUCAGCAGUAGAACAAUGAGAUCAGCUCAAGAACAAUCAAUGAAACAGUGGAGGAAUAACAAAUCCAAACCCAGAUUCAAACCAAAAUUCAAGCCAUUUCUCAAACCAGAAGUGUAACUAGGGAAAUUUUCAAGUGUUUUAGCUAACAAAGAGAGAUCAAAAAUCCAAACAAGCAGAAUCUUGGUAGUCUUCAACCAUGGAAUGCAAGAAUUCAAAUUUUUUUUAAAAGAACUCAGUCGUUUCAGUUUUUUUUCAGGGAUUUUUUUGUCUCUAGUCUCCGACUUGAACCUCAAGUAUGGAUGCCUUUAUAGGCAAGGUUUUAGGGCUGCAGAAACAAGCUCAUUUUUGAACUUAAGACCUUUUGCAAUUUUGGUUUUUGUUCAAGUACCCUCACUUAAAAAAAUUAAAUUUUCAGUUAAGUCCCAAUGACACCUUCCUAGCAGCUUCCUAAUUCAGGUGUGCAAGAUUCUCUAAGGUAAACUACCCAAAAUACCUUUUAAACCCCUGUUAUUUACUUCAGUAAACUAAAACUUCUGACAAAUGGCCCAAAGGUCUUGGGCUACUGCACUAGCAGGUUCUACGGCCUUUGGGCUCCUGAAUCCUUGAAGCCCAAAUUGUGAUCCAAAAGACCAUAGGCCGCGAAUAGGUAAGCCCAUAAGUUUUGCCAUUCCGGCAUCGAAAGAGAAAAACUAACGGAGCAAAACAAAAAAAAAUACGAAUAAGGCAACAGGCAAACACGAAAUCAGAAAUCAGAAAUACUGAAGAAAAGAAUAUUACACUAAUAUGCUGGUAAUUACUAACACGACCCAAUUCUAAACAUGCAACAGAGAUCAAUUCGAAAUAACAAAAGAAGAAAGAAAUAAGAAGAAACAAUAAUACGCGAUUUGAAAUGCAUACAAAAAAUGACAGAAAAGAUAGGAGAUAAAAGAGGAAGAAGACAGAAGAAGAUGAACAUGAGAAAAACAACACACAAAAAAUGACGAGAAGCAAAGAAAUACCCAGAAUAGUAGAAAAAGGAAAAUGGCUUGAAUGGACUUCUGGUGCUUUCCGAUUUGAAGCAAAAAAAAAGUGUCAAUUGGUUGAUUCUUGCGAGAACAAACAUCUAGCACUCAUUUUAGCCAAAAUCAUCGUCGAAAUAACGGAACCAGACCCUUUAAAUGAGACAUCAAAGGCGGGAACAAGUCUAGGGCUCCGUUUUACAAUCUGAAAUUAAGGAGAAGUGGAAAGGAUUUAGGGAAAAUUGGUUGUGGUUUAAUGUUUAAGGGACUAUGGGGAUUAUGGGGUUGAAGUUUGGUGGUGAUUGGAAGCUGUCUCACCGGUAAAAAUGGCGAAGAGGAUGUGAGGGCGGCGCUGGUUUGAUGAGGGAGAUGGUGUUUGAGGGAGAUG
RNAcentral lists this long non-coding RNA (1721 nucleotides) under Nicotiana tabacum (common tobacco). RNAcentral describes it as "long non-coding RNA (NTAB_LNC018127)". Lineage: Eukaryota; Viridiplantae; Streptophyta; Magnoliopsida; Solanales; Solanaceae. The record is from RNAcentral.